GAUGAACGCUGGCGGCGUGCCUAACACAUGCAAGUCGAGCGUGAACCCUUGGAAUGAAACUUCGGUCGAAUGAAGAGGGGGAAAGCGGCGGACGGGUGAGUAACGCGUAGGUAACCUGCCCCAUACAGAGGGAUAGCCUCGGGAAACCGGGAUUAAGACCUCAUAACACCGUUUCUUCGCAUGAAGGGAUGGUCAAAGAUUUAUCGGUAUGGGAUGGGCCUGCGUCUGAUUAGCUGGUUGGUGAGGUAACGGCUCACCAAGGCGACGAUCAGUAGCCGACCUGAGAGGGUAAUCGGCCACAUUGGAACUGAGACACGGUCCAAACUCCUACGGGAGGCAGCAGUGGGGAAUAUUGCACAAUGGGCGAAAGCCUGAUGCAGCAACGCCGCGUGAGCGAAGAAGGCCUUUGGGUCGUAAAGCUCUGUCGGGAAGGAAGAUAAUGACGGUACUUCCCGAGGAAGCCCCGGCUAACUACGUGCCAGCAGCCGCGGUAAUACGUAGGGGGCGAGCGUUAUCCGGAAUUACUGGGCGUAAAGAGUGCGUAGGUGGUUGCUUAACGUGGGGUGAAAGGCAAUGGCUUAACCAUUGUGAGCCUCGCGAACUGGCGACUUGAGUGCAGGAAAAGAAAGCGG
Molecule: ribosomal RNA, 632 nt
Filed under: uncultured bacterium
Lineage: Bacteria
Description: bacterial SSU rRNA
Rfam family: Bacterial small subunit ribosomal RNA
Source: RNAcentral